UUGGUACUCUCUCCGUCCGGAAAUAGUUGUCAGAUAAAUGCAUAAAAAUGGAUGUAUCUAACUAAAAUACGUCUAGAUACAUCCAUUCCUCCGACAAGUAUUUCCGGAUGGAGGGAGUAUAUA
Molecule: non-coding RNA, 123 nt
Organism: Triticum aestivum (bread wheat)
Lineage: Eukaryota; Viridiplantae; Streptophyta; Magnoliopsida; Poales; Poaceae
Source: Rfam